This 252-nucleotide ribosomal RNA is filed under the name uncultured bacterium. RNAcentral's name for it is "partial 16S ribosomal RNA". It matches the Rfam family "Bacterial small subunit ribosomal RNA", at positions 524 to 776 of the family's 1533-position model. The record is from RNAcentral.
UACGGAGGGGGUUAGCGUUGUUCGGAAUUACUGGGCGUAAAGCGCGCGUAGGCGGACCAGAAAGUUGGGGGUGAAAUCCCGGGGCUCAACCCCGGAACGGCCUCCAAAACUCCUGGUCUUGAGUUCGAGAGAGGUGAGUGGAAUUCCGAGUGUAGAGGUGAAAUUCGUAGAUAUUCGGAGGAACACCAGUGGCGAAGGCGGCUCACUGCUCGAUACUGACGCUGAGGUGCGAAAGUGUGGGGAGCAAACAGC